Molecule: ribosomal RNA, 468 nt
Filed under: uncultured bacterium
Lineage: Bacteria
Description: partial 16S ribosomal RNA
Rfam family: Bacterial small subunit ribosomal RNA
Source: RNAcentral
GACGAACGCUGGCGGCGUGCUUAACACAUGCAAGUCGAACGGCAAGGCCCUGCUUUUGUGGGGUGCUCGAGUGGCGAACGGGUGCGUAACACGUGAGUAACCUGCCCUUGACUUUGGGAUGACUUCAGGAAACUGGGGCUACUACCGGAUAGGAGCUCCUGCUGCAUGGUGGGGGUUGGAACGUUUCGGCGGUUGGGGAUGGACUCGCGGCUUAUCAGCUUGUUGGUGGGGUAGUGGCUUACCAAGGCUUUGACGGGUAGCCGGCCUGAGAGGGUGACCGGCCACAUUGGGACUGAGAUACGGCCCAGACUCCUACGGGAGGCAGCAGUGGGGAAUAUUGCACAAUGGGCGGAAGCCUGAUGCAGCAACGCCGCGUGCGGGAUGACGGCCUUCGGGUUGUAAACCGCUUUCGCCUGUGACGAAGCGUGAGUGACGGUAAUGGGUAAAGAAGCACCGGCUAACUACGUG